UCUCCAGAAGACAAAACAGAAAUUAACUAUUGUGUUGCUAACCCAGGAUACUAUAAUAAAACUAUAAUAAAAAUAAAAAAUGUUUUAAAUGUGCUAAAUAUCUUAGCAAGCAAUUCUUUGCCUGAUCUCUAAAUUUCCUAGUGUAGAGGGCUUGUGGGCUCUGUACAACCAUAUAUACUUGUUGAGUAUUUUGAUGCCUUCCUGUGACUACUCACUUUUUAAAGAUUGUAUUGGCCAAUGUGGAAACAUAAGAAAAGCAAAUGCGAAGGAUGGCUAAUUACAUUGAAUUAACGGCAGCAAUAGUGAUCUGACCUCCUUAGACUAGAUACUGUGACCGUCUCUAGAUGUUUCAUUUGAUGACUGCAGAGAUCAUGCAUAUGGAAAUUGUUGUUAUUAUCUCUGAAGUGGAUAAGGUAGCGAGCAUUUUGGAAGACUGGAUGUGAAAACAGAGAUGCAGUUAUACCAGGAGAGAGCAUUACAAGAAAAGAUUAAGACUUACUCAAAGUAGUGAUCAGUUAUCAGCCCCAAGCAGAUUCAGCUAAUGAGUGCCUUCAACCACUAAAAUGAGAUUCAUUGUU
RNAcentral lists this long non-coding RNA (578 nucleotides) under Homo sapiens (human). RNAcentral describes it as "non-protein coding lnc-HGF-7:2". The record is from RNAcentral. Lineage: Eukaryota; Metazoa; Chordata; Mammalia; Primates; Hominidae.